RNAcentral lists this ribosomal RNA (112 nucleotides) under Candidatus Colwelliibacteriota bacterium. The record is from RNAcentral. Lineage: Bacteria; Candidatus Colwelliibacteriota.
GCUGGUGAUUUAGUCGCGCGUGUCCCACCUCUUCCCAUUCCGAACAGAGAAGUGAAAGCGCGCAACCCCGAUGAUACUUAAUUCAUUUUUGGGAAAGUAGGGUUUGCCAGCC